GGGUUGUGAGGUUAAGCGACUAAGCGUACACGGUGGAUGCCCUGGCAGUCAGAGGCGAUGAAGGACGUGCUAAUCUGCGAUAAGCGUCGGUAAGGUGAUAUGAACCGUUAUAACCGGCGAUUUCCGAAUGGGGAAACCCAGUGUGAUUCGUCACACUAUCAUUAACUGAAUCCAUAGGUUAAUGAGGCGAACCGGGGGAACUGAAACAUCUAAGUACCCCGAGGAAAAGAAAUCAACCGAGAUUCCCCCAGUAGCGGCGAGCGAACGGGGAGCAGCCCAGAGCCUGAAUCAGUGUGUGUGUUAGUGGAAGCGUCUGGAAAGGCGCGCGAUACAGGGUGACAGCCCCGUACACAAAAAUGCACAUGCUGUGAGCUCGAUGAGUAGGGCGGGACACGUGGUAUCCUGUCUGAAUAUGGGGGACCAUCCUCCAAGGCUAAAUACUCCUGACUGACCGAUAGUGAACCAGUACCGUGAGGGAAAGGCGAAAAGAACCCCGGCGAGGGGAGUGAAAAAGAACCUGAAACCGUGUACGUACAAGCAGUGGGAGCACGCUUAGGCGUGUGACUGCGUACCUUUUGUAUAAUGGGUCAGCGACUUAUAUUCUGUAGCAAGGUUAACCGAAUAGGGGAGCCGAAGGGAAACCGAGUCUUAACUGGGCGUUAAGUUGCAGGGUAUAGACCCGAAACCCGGUGAUCUAGCCAUGGGCAGGUUGAAGGUUGGGUAACACUAACUGGAGGACCGAACCGACUAAUGUUGAAAAAUUAGCGGAUGACUUGUGGCUGGGGGUGAAAGGCCAAUCAAACCGGGAGAUAGCUGGUUCUCCCCGAAAGCUAUUUAGGUAGCGCCUCGUGAAUUCAUCUCCGGGGGUAGAGCACUGUUUCGGCAAGGGGGUCAUCCCGACUUACCAACCCGAUGCAAACUGCGAAUACCGGAGAAUGUUAUCACGGGAGACACACGGCGGGUGCUAACGUCCGUCGUGAAGAGGGAAACAACCCAGACCGCCAGCUAAGGUCCCAAAGUCAUGGUUAAGUGGGAAACGAUGUGGGAAGGCCCAGACAGCCAGGAUGUUGGCUUAGAAGCAGCCAUCAUUUAAAGAAAGCGUAAUAGCUCACUGGUCGAGUCGGCCUGCGCGGAAGAUGUAACGGGGCUAAACCAUGCACCGAAGCUGCGGCAGCGACGCUGAUGCGUUGUUGGGUAGGGGAGCGUUCUGUAAGCCUGCGAAGGUGUGCUGUGAGGCAUGCUGGAGGUAUCAGAAGUGCGAAUGCUGACAUAAGUAACGAUAAAGCGGGUGAAAAGCCCGCUCGCCGGAAGACCAAGGGUUCCUGUCCAACGUUAAUCGGGGCAGGGUGAGUCGACCCCUAAGGCGAGGCCGAAAGGCGUAGUCGAUGGGAAACAGGUUAAUAUUCCUGUACUUGGUGUUACUGCGAAGGGGGGACGGAGAAGGCUAUGUUGGCCGGGCGACGGUUGUCCCGGUUUAAGCGUGUAGGCUGGUUUUCCAGGCAAAUCCGGAAAAUCAAGGCUGAGGCGUGAUGACGAGGCACUACGGUGCUGAAGCAACAAAUGCCCUGCUUCCAGGAAAAGCCUCUAAGCAUCAGGUAACAUCAAAUCGUACCCCAAACCGACACAGGUGGUCAGGUAGAGAAUACCAAGGCGCUUGAGAGAACUCGGGUGAAGGAACUAGGCAAAAUGGUGCCGUAACUUCGGGAGAAGGCACGCUGAUAUGUAGGUGAAGCGACUUGCUCGUGGAGCUGAAAUCAGUCGAAGAUACCAGCUGGCUGCAACUGUUUAUUAAAAACACAGCACUGUGCAAACACGAAAGUGGACGUAUACGGUGUGACGCCUGCCCGGUGCCGGAAGGUUAAUUGAUGGGGUCAGCGCAAGCGAAGCUCUUGAUCGAAGCCCCGGUAAACGGCGGCCGUAACUAUAACGGUCCUAAGGUAGCGAAAUUCCUUGUCGGGUAAGUUCCGACCUGCACGAAUGGCGUAAUGAUGGCCAGGCUGUCUCCACCCGAGACUCAGUGAAAUUGAACUCGCUGUGAAGAUGCAGUGUACCCGCGGCAAGACGGAAAGACCCCGUGAACCUUUACUAUAGCUUGACACUGAACAUUGAGCCUUGAUGUGUAGGAUAGGUGGGAGGCUUUGAAGUGUGGACGCCAGUCUGCAUGGAGCCGACCUUGAAAUACCACCCUUUAAUGUUUGAUGUUCUAACGUGGACCCGUAAUCCGGGUUGCGGACAGUGUCUGGUGGGUAGUUUGACUGGGGCGGUCUCCUCCUAAAGAGUAACGGAGGAGCACGAAGGUUGGCUAAUCCUGGUCGGACAUCAGGAGGUUAGUGCAAUGGCAUAAGCCAGCUUGACUGCGAGCGUGACGGCGCGAGCAGGUGCGAAAGCAGGUCAUAGUGAUCCGGUGGUUCUGAAUGGAAGGGCCAUCGCUCAACGGAUAAAAGGUACUCCGGGGAUAACAGGCUGAUACCGCCCAAGAGUUCAUAUCGACGGCGGUGUUUGGCACCUCGAUGUCGGCUCAUCACAUCCUGGGGCUGAAGUAGGUCCCAAGGGUAUGGCUGUUCGCCAUUUAAAGUGGUACGCGAGCUGGGUUUAGAACGUCGUGAGACAGUUCGGUCCCUAUCUGCCGUGGGCGCUGGAGAAUUGAGGGGGGCUGCUCCUAGUACGAGAGGACCGGAGUGGACGCAUCACUGGUGUUCGGGUUGUCAUGCCAAUGGCACUGCCCGGUAGCUAAAUGCGGAAGAGAUAAGUGCUGAAAGCAUCUAAGCACGAAACUUGCCCCGAGAUGAGUUCUCCCUGACUCCUUGAGAGUCCUGAAGGAACGUUGAAGACGACGACGUUGAUAGGCCGGGUGUGUAAGCGCAGCGAUGCGUUGAGCUAACCGGUACUAAUGAACCGUGAGGCUUAACCUUACAACGCCGAAG
Molecule: ribosomal RNA, 2924 nt
Filed under: Escherichia coli
Lineage: Bacteria; Pseudomonadati; Pseudomonadota; Gammaproteobacteria; Enterobacterales; Enterobacteriaceae
Description: bacterial LSU rRNA
Rfam family: Bacterial large subunit ribosomal RNA
Source: RNAcentral